GAGAAACAGAAAAGGUUUAUUACCUGGAAUAUCUCCUUUGGUACAUUCCUGCAUUUUUAGGUACUUUUAUACGAUAAAAAUGUAUUUGAGCCUCAUUUGAGCUAGUUUGAAUCGAAUUUAAUGCCUAUGGAUAGUCUGUUAAUAGGUUCAUGCUAUUAAUUAAUCUUUGGACUUUCUCAGGUAUUGCGAGUAUGUUAUUAAUGUUGUGGCCUAUGGAUAUAUGUCGUCCUAGUAUCAAUAGGUUGUCUUAGGUUGAGGAGAGAGAUCGAUCAGCAAUUACAAAAUUGUUAGUGAAUUUAGCGUGUUUAAGCUUUGUUUAUCAUCUCUCUUAUUUUGUUUGUUAAGAUUUGUUGUUCUAGGUUAUGAUUUAUCCUUGUCCCUACAUUUCACAGCAACUGAGAAUUUGUUAGUGUUAGAUUUAUAAGGGAAAAACAAAGUGAUUUUAUUAAUUUGGAGGAGAAUAGUACAUAGCUUUGUGUAGGCUAAUUGACCUUUUACACUUAACAUAUUGGCUUUUUAGCCAUCACACUUGAUUUAGAUUAGUUUAGGCUAUUUGGCCCUUAACUUAGAUUAGUGAGCUUAUUGGCUCCCUAACAUAGCUAACUUUGGUAGCUCUUGGCUCCCUAAUUGUUUGGGAGUUGAUUGGUUUACCCCCACAUAGAUUGGGAGUUCUAUUAAUUAAUUCCACAUUUCAUUGUGGUUGCAUGCCUAUUUAUAGGCUCCUUUGCCGACAUCACCAAGUCCACCGACUUGGUUUCUUUUUCUCCGGCCACAAGGGUGUGGCUUCAUCUAGAAUAUUCUAUAUUUGUACAAUAUUAUUUUUGUGGCUAUUGUUUAGCCAUCAUGCUCCACCGCCAUAGUCUAGCAACAUGAGUGUUCUUGUUCUAGAGAGUUCUUCCAACUUCAAUCCCUUUGUGUAGCCGACACAUAUACACGCAUAUACACAUAUACACAUAUACACACAUUUUAGUAGGGCAAAAAAUGAUUGCUUUUAUAUGUUAACGUCUCAGUCUUAUUCCACUCUGUGUUUAGACUUCAUUUAUGUUGUGCUUCGACUGCUGCUGUAUUUUAGAUUUCGUCCAUGUAAUGUUAGGAUGUUUAAUCUCUAAUCUGUGGUGGUAGUUGAGUAGUCUAGCUAAUCCAGUAGAUAUCUUGUCCCCUGUUUCUUAUCAAAAAAAAAGUUUUCAUCGAUACUUAUUGCUUAUUUUGAAUUGCAGAAGCCUACUUUUGUCACAGUCAGUAGAUGCCAGAAUGAAGUCAUUGCCUAAAAACAUUGGCACCCUCACAGCCUUCGACAUUUGGGGAUAUAUGAUCUUCAAAUCUUGUGUCAUUUGCCUCCCAACCUGCAAUAUUUUCAUAUUUUGAAUUGUGAUAGACUGAGCCCUUCGGUGGGAGAUUACUGGGGUUUGCAAGGACUUGGUGGCAAUAUCUUGUAGAUGUUUCUCAAGGAACAGCUGCUCAAUACCACUCUUCGCACUCUAUUUAUUACGGCUCUUCGCUGCAAAGGCUACAUAUUUGUGGGUGUGACAGUAUCCAAUUCCUGCCAGAAGAGCGUUUGCUGCCAUCUCUUUCUUAUCUGUGCAUCGACCAUUGUUUUGCUGUGUAGAAAAGGUAUCUCACAUUCCUUGCAUCAAGAUAGGCGAAGAAGUGAUCAUAAGAUAUCAGCUCUCUCCCUCUCGCUCACAUACAAA
RNAcentral lists this long non-coding RNA (1691 nucleotides) under Prunus dulcis (almond). Its description in RNAcentral is "sRNA ncRNA". Lineage: Eukaryota; Viridiplantae; Streptophyta; Magnoliopsida; Rosales; Rosaceae. The record is from RNAcentral.